AAAUUGAAGAGUUUGAUCAUGGCUCAGAUUGAACGCUGGCGGCAGGCCUAACACAUGCAAGUCGAACGGUAACAGGAAGCAGCUUGCUGCUUUGCUGACGAGUGGCGGACGGGUGAGUAAUGUCUGGGAAACUGCCUGAUGGAGGGGGAUAACUACUGGAAACGGUGGCUAAUACCGCAUAAUGUCGCAAGACCAAAGAGGGGGACCUUCGGGCCUCUUGCCAUCAGAUGUGCCCAGAUGGGAUUAGCUUGUUGGUGAGGUAACGGCUCACCAAGGCGACGAUCCCUAGCUGGUCUGAGAGGAUGACCAGCCACACUGGAACUGAGACACGGUCCAGACUCCUACGGGAGGCAGCAGUGGGGAAUAUUGCACAAUGGGCGCAAGCCUGAUGCAGCCAUGCCGCGUGUAUGAAGAAGGCCUUCGGGUUGUAAAGUACUUUCAGCGGGGAGGAAGGUGUUGCGGUUAAUAACCGCAGCAAUUGACGUUACCCGCAGAAGAAGCACCGGCUAACUCCGUGCCAGCAGCCGCGGUAAUACGGAGGGUGCAAGCGUUAAUCGGAAUUACUGGGCGUAAAGCGCACGCAGGCGGUCUGUCAAGUCGGAUGUGAAAUCCCCGGGCUCAACCUGGGAACUGCAUUCGAAACUGGCAGGCUUGAGUCUUGUAGAGGGGGGUAGAAUUCCAGGUGUAGCGGUGAAAUGCGUAGAGAUCUGGAGGAAUACCGGUGGCGAAGGCGGCCCCCUGGACAAAGACUGACGCUCAGGUGCGAAAGCGUGGGGAGCAAACAGGAUUAGAUACCCUGGUAGUCCACGCCGUAAACGAUGUCUACUUGGAGGUUGUGCCCUUGAGGCGUGGCUUCCGGAGCUAACGCGUUAAGUAGACCGCCUGGGGAGUACGGCCGCAAGGUUAAAACUCAAAUGAAUUGACGGGGGCCCGCACAAGCGGUGGAGCAUGUGGUUUAAUUCGAUGCAACGCGAAGAACCUUACCUGGUCUUGACAUCCACAGAACUUUCCAGAGAUGGAUUGGUGCCUUCGGGAACUGUGAGACAGGUGCUGCAUGGCUGUCGUCAGCUCG
RNAcentral lists this ribosomal RNA (1072 nucleotides) under Salmonella enterica. RNAcentral describes it as "bacterial SSU rRNA". It matches the Rfam family "Bacterial small subunit ribosomal RNA", at positions 1 to 1062 of the family's 1533-position model. Lineage: Bacteria; Pseudomonadati; Pseudomonadota; Gammaproteobacteria; Enterobacterales; Enterobacteriaceae. RNAcentral also lists the same sequence under 1 other name. The record is from RNAcentral.